UACGAAGGUGGCAAGCGUUAUCCGGAUUGAUUGGGCGUAAAGCGUCCGCAGAUGGUUUGAUGCGUCUCGGGUCAAAUCCUGAAGCUUAACUUCAGGGCUGCUCGGGAAACGGUCAUUCUAGAGACUGGAAGAGGCAAGCGGAAUUAUCGGUGUAGCGGUAAAAUGCGUUAAUAUCGAUAAGAACACCAAAAGCGAAGGCAGCUUGCUGGUACAGUUCUGACAUUAAGGGACGAAAGCGUGGGGAGCGAAUGGG
Molecule: ribosomal RNA, 253 nt
Filed under: uncultured bacterium
Lineage: Bacteria
Description: partial 16S ribosomal RNA
Rfam family: Bacterial small subunit ribosomal RNA
Source: RNAcentral